This is an unclassified non-coding RNA of Pongo abelii (Sumatran orangutan), 148 nucleotides long. It matches the Rfam family "Metazoan signal recognition particle RNA". From Rfam's summary of the family: The signal recognition particle (SRP) is a universally conserved ribonucleoprotein. Lineage: Eukaryota; Metazoa; Chordata; Mammalia; Primates; Hominidae. The record is from Ensembl.
GCCGGGUGUGGUGGUGCACACCUGUAGUCCUAGCUACUUGGGAGGCUGAGGUAGGGGGUUUGCUUGAGGCUAGGAGUUUGAGGUUUCAGUGAGCUGUGAAUGUGCCACUGCACUCCAGCCUGGGUCACAGAGCAAGACCCUGUCUCAA